This 212-nucleotide long non-coding RNA is filed under the name Physcomitrium patens. Its description in RNAcentral is "long non-coding RNA (PPAT_LNC006263)". Lineage: Eukaryota; Viridiplantae; Streptophyta; Bryopsida; Funariales; Funariaceae. The record is from RNAcentral.
CAAAGAAGAAGAGAAGGAUGAAACUUUAGAUAAGAAGAGGUAUUGCCAGUAUGUUGUUGAUCAUAUAUAAGAUUGUAAAAAAAUAUUGACUCAUCUUGAAGAAGUUCAUCUUACAUUAUUAGGUGUAAAAUCUACAUUUAGAGUGUAAGAGGUCAUAAUUGUUGGACAUUUACAUAGAUUUUAUGGAAGAAAACCAGAUCUAACGAAGGUUG